UUCUCACGCAAAGUGGCCAGGGUGUGGGA
RNAcentral lists this non-coding RNA (29 nucleotides) under Homo sapiens (human). The record is from RNAcentral. Lineage: Eukaryota; Metazoa; Chordata; Mammalia; Primates; Hominidae.